GAUGCAACUAAGGAACAGAUUUAGAAGUACGCAGAGAGCUACGAUUUUGGCCGAUACCAUUUCUUUAGUUUUUUGUCUGAAAUGUUGAUCAAUGUAGCAAGAAAGUUUUUGAAUUGGCAACAGUGGGGUGACUAUUGUUAACUGUAAACGUGCAGACAUGAUCUGAUGGGCUGGUCUAUCAGUCAAACCUGUCUCACAGCAGAGCAGAGGAGAAAAGUUGUUGAUUUUUUAAUAUUUGCU
Xiphophorus couchianus (Monterrey platyfish) is the source of this 240-nucleotide long non-coding RNA. RefSeq lists it as uncharacterized. The transcript has 5 exons. NCBI's taxonomy places the organism in Eukaryota, Metazoa, Chordata, Actinopteri, Cyprinodontiformes, Poeciliidae. The record is from RefSeq and is a predicted model, not a curated record.